CAAAGCCCAUUACUGGCACCUACUGGUUGGAGUGUGAACAAAGUGCCUGCUUUUUUACAUUUCGUGCAAUUAUUUGUAACUAUAUAUGUCAAUCUAUAUCUUGCCAGUGAGUUUUACCACAGUAAUUUAUUGUGCUUCCGUAAGAACAUUCAACAUUUGCGCUUUGAAUGUCCAAACUUUUCUUUAGUAGGCAUGGCAGUAGGCAGGCCGGGCACCAUAACGUUUUAAUUAUUGUGGUAGCUUGCCUUGCUGUGUAACUUAAUGUUAUGAGAGUUGAGAGAGAUCCAUUCCAUAUUGAACCGACAGAAAGAACUGUACUGUAAAUGGACAGUGGAGGAAGAGGACGUGGAAGGGGGAAGUCAGAGGCUAUCCAGUUCUUCUGGCUGGAGAACAGUGUAUUGCUGACACAUGGGGAUACUGAGUGGGAAACUACUUCCCCGCCCUAAAACUAAGACCCACAUAGAGUAUUCUGCCACUGGAGUAGGUGAAGAGGCUUAUCUGCGCUUCGGAGGUAAAAGACAUGGCUGAGUUUGUCAUCAGACAGCUGUCGAUUUCCAGUUCUGUUUAGACUGUUUCCAUGGAAACGGAUACUGUUCGGAACCAGAACCAGAAGACUGAAUGAAGACUGAGUCUGAAAACACCCUCAACAACAGCUCUAUUACCAUACAGGCCACAGUACAGGCACAGAGACUGACGGGUGUUCCUGAUAACACUGUCACAUGACUGGAAGACACAAAAGGAUACUAUCUAUCAGAUGGGAAGCAGAAGGCACAAGCUGUGGUUUUGUCAACGGACAGUCUCAACUGUUCCACAGAGAUAGGAAAACACACACACACACACACACACACACACACACA
This is a long non-coding RNA of Oncorhynchus gorbuscha (pink salmon), 857 nucleotides long. RefSeq lists it as uncharacterized. Lineage: Eukaryota; Metazoa; Chordata; Actinopteri; Salmoniformes; Salmonidae. The transcript is spliced from 3 exons. The record is from RefSeq and is a predicted model, not a curated record.